Molecule: long non-coding RNA, 4136 nt
Organism: Eriocheir sinensis (Chinese mitten crab)
Lineage: Eukaryota; Metazoa; Arthropoda; Malacostraca; Decapoda; Varunidae
Exons: 2
Source: RefSeq, a predicted model, not a curated record
GAAAAUACAAUGUUAUGAGUACGACAAUCUGGUAACGUUGGGCGACACAAGACAGGACACAAGAAGAGGAGGAGGAAGAGCUGUCAUCUGUCAUGGCGCGUACAGUUUGACUCCCGUGCACCAGGCAGCCAUAUCUUGUACGCUUUCCAAGACACCACCGCGCCACAGGGACGUGAGGACCAUGGGCUAGGAUAAGGGUGGCUGGACGAGCAGAUACACACAUCAUUCGCUGCCGUGAGGACACACCCGUCUCACCUUUGGCAAGACCUGGGAUGAUCUGUUUCUGGACACAACUUCUUGGACCUUGUGACCAGGAAGAGCAAGGGGCACUGACCAAUGAGAUAAGUCUAUGCAUCAUACAAGCUGUUAGAGCACUGAGGGCGUGUGUUGGCUGUGAGCUGAGGAUAUGACAUCACCCUAAUACGUGCAUGAUUCUGGCCCAAAGUAAUGGUGGAACAGGCAUAUCUUUUUAAUUUUUAUUCUUUUUGCAAGGGUUUAUAUAGACUUGCAUGUGUUGGUCUUCUUCCAUUCCCCAUAAUCCUUAGUAGCCUUGAAUUCAUGCCCAGGGUUUGCCAUGGAUCUUUGCUCUACCUCCGUCAGCUUGUUUUAUCGAUAGCCAACUCAAUCAUUUUUACACAGAGAGAAAGACAGACUGAGAAUGUUAAAUGUAAAAGAGCGGAACAGCUGGGUGUCAUAAGCCAGUAUUGUCAAACUCCUUCGCCUCUCACAUAAAUUAUUUUCAAAGGUCAAAAUGGAGAUAAGUUUGGUUCUAAUGAGUGCUAUUUAGAUUCUUGGUACAGAGGAAGGAUCAAAUGACCACCAGGGUCAUUAAACUACCUCAGGAAACGCCCAAAAUCCUAUGAAAGGCUUGUCAAAGAUGCGUACUUGGGCGAUGAAAUGCUGCCAAGUGUUACCAAGGUGGGUUGUGUAGCAGUAAUGGUGGGAACAUCCUUGUUUUGAAAGUCUCCAUACGUACUUGCUUGUGUCGGCCUUGUUCUGUUAUUGGUGGCACUGCAUUCUGCUCAGUAUACCAUCCUCUCUCCAGGCCCAAGAUCCAUAGGUCAUAUACUACUACUUUGUCAUAAGUCUUGUCCACCUUUAUUAAUAUCUAUUUAAUGAUUUUUAUGUAGGUUGCUUUCAGAUUUGUUUGUAUUGUGCGUGCUAAUGAUUUGGGUGUUUCCAGGCGUGUGGCGGCAAUGGGGUGCCAGCCAGGCCGUUGUGACGGUGCUCAUCAUUAGUGUAUGCCAGGCACCUGACCAGGGCGUUGGUGACACAAAUCAGUGCCCUUCCCUUUCGUAUUGUUUGUGCCAGUGCAAUCUGCUGUCCCUCGCCCAUCAGAGUGAUGUCAUGUCCUCCAGCACACGGUCAUCACACACCUUCAGUGCUCCUGUUGCUUGCACGGUGUCCCCUCACUCACUGGUCACCAGGUGCUCUGGCUGUGGGGCUCACCCAGUCCCAUACACAGCUCUUAUAAAACAGAUUUGCUUCAUGUUUGAGUAGUUCAAUAAUGUAUGCCAUUGUUUCAAGUGUGAGACUUAUUUUCACCCAUAAUUAAAGUAGUGACCUUAAAGCCAGAGCAACUUGUGACCAGGAAGAGGAAGGGGCUCUGACCAAUGAGACAAGUCUGUGCACCAUACAAGCUAUUAGAGCACUGAGGGCAUGUGUUGGCUGUGAGCUGAGGACAUGACAUCACCCUAAUGAGUGCAUGGUGCUGGCACAAUGCACGGCCAAAAGAAAAUGAACAUAUGGUCAGGUGCAUGGUGGACCUUAAUUAUGAGCUCCGUUCAUCCCAUCUGUACUCUCCCCCCACUGUACUGUACUUCCCUGUACAGUAUACAGCAGAUUAAGGCCGGCAUCAACAAAUACUAUUACUGAUGAUCCUUUUCGUCUUAACACAGAAACAGAAUAGUCCAAGGAUGAUCCACCCCAAACAGAUGACAGACAAGCCCUCGCCAUCUGCUUUUGUCAAGUCUGUAUCAAUGUCAUAGUCUACACAACAUUACUAUGCAGGAACACUUGAGCAUCCCAGAGAGUGCUGCUUCUCAGCUGACCAAUGGGACUUGAUGACACUUUCUCAGUUUUCUUGUUUAUUUUGUUUCAAACAGGAGGCAGCGAAAAUAUAAUGUCAGCCUUUCUUAACAUCUAAAACACGUUCACUGUCACGUAAUAUUUAUUAUAAUAGUUAUAAAAGAGAGUAAAGCUAAUAUAUAUAUAUAUAUAUAUAUAUGAACAUACAUAUGGAUUUUGCAACAUUAAAGUAGUAAUCUCAAGUCAGUUUAGAUUAGAGCUUAAAUAGGUCAGUAAAGAGUAGUGAGUAUGUUUUGUGGUAUAACAAUCAACAAGAGCUGGGUGGUCAUCACACUGGGACCACACGGCUGGGCAGCAGCCUGGCGGGGAGGCUGAGUGGAGGUGUGCAGCAGCCCUGGCUUGUGCAUAAGCAUUGCAGUGUUGGCUGGCUCGUUACUCCAGGCUUAAUAUGAACAGGGUGGUUGAGAAUCCUUUACAAAGUAGAGCACCACGACAACCUACCUCCAGCCAGACAGCAAACGCUCACUUAAUAUUCUAUCACUGCUCUCACCUCACUCUCAACACGACCAAGGCUCAAAUCAGAACCACAGCAACAAUGAACCCUGACGUACACUUGCACACAAAACAAUUGAUCCACCUCACUCUAAUCUCAUUGCAGGGACUCAGUGGCCCUGUUUGGCAUCUCCCAUCUAGCAACUCAUCUCCAAUCUCCCCUCACCCCCAUGUGGCACUGUGCAGAAAGGGAGCACUGAGGCUAGAGCCAGGUGGAUCGGUGUGCCUGGCCGGAGUCAUGCCAAAGUAACACUCCUCAGGAAGGUGUACAAACAAGGCUCUGUAACACAUGUGGCAGUACAGCAGCAGGGAACUGUUGCUGAUGUACUUUGAUGAGCCAAGCCACAUGUGUGAUGACAGGACUGGCCAUUUUGUGAUACAUAUGACAAGAUACACACAGAACACAUGAUAAAGUACCACAAAUUCUUAUUUAAAAAAAUAGCCAGAUUUUAAGGUAUAGGGAAGAUACAUGACUGUCCCUCUUGAGAUACAUGAUAACACAUCAUAAACAAAUUCUUAUAUAAAAAAUAGCCUGAUUUAAAGGUAUGAAGUACAAGGAAGAUACAUGACUGUCCCUCUCGAGAUACAUAACACAACACAUCGUAAAUCAAUACAAACACAUGUGAGAAUUGCCGUUUUAGAAUCUAGAAUUGUAGAUGAAGUCCAGGGCUGUCAGUGGCCUCUAUCAUGAACACUAAAAUGAAGCUCACACACACAACCAAACACCUGCCAUUGAUCAAACUUAUAACCACUAAAGCAUCAUUUUAAGUUACAUGACUAAACGAGAUUCGAACACAACAUCGUAGGGCUGUCACCACCAUCAUUGUUAGUGGAGUGCCGUAUCCCACAGGAAGUCAGCUGCCAUGGAAAACCACCAGUCUGUAGGUCCAGGAAUUCCUACCAUGCACCGUCCAACGCGUGCUCAUGUCGGGAAAAGUACGAGGGUACGUAAAAUAAACUUGUCGAGUGUUUGAGGAGAUUAAAAUGUGAUAUGGGAAAAAGAACGUGUGUAGAGUUCAGAUAAGAUGAAAUUGCAAUGAGAUAUGAAAAUAAACUUGUCUAUUGAUUGAGGAGGAUCAAACUACGUAUUCUUAAAUGUAUCGACCCUUAAGUUCACCUGCUUGAAAAGGCUCUCGUAGAAGAAGUUGUUGGGCUUUUCAUGGACUGCUCUGUGAUGCUAGUGACAGUUUUACAUGACCUCUGCACCCUGAACUGGAUAACCACCCAUGAAGACCCAGUUAAUCUUCGCUGUGGCCUUGGAAAAAAGUAGUAAUUGGAGCCUGAUACCUCUAAGAAUAUGGACCUGACACUGCACUGAGAUAUGAAAAUGAAUUUGUCCAGUGUUGAGGGGAUUAAGAUGUCCUCUCUGCCUAAAUUCCGACUUGCCGUUUCAGUAGAGGAAGGAGCAUGGGGGCAGAGAAGGACCACAUGACUCUGAACUACUGGACUAUCGACAUCAAUCUUUUCCGACAUGAGUACGGAUUGGAAAGGCACCUGUACCAAUCAGCGGACAGACCCUACAUAACUUAUCCUUAAAAAAAACUUCGGAGGAGAAA